This is a long non-coding RNA of Heterocephalus glaber (naked mole-rat), 467 nucleotides long. NCBI's taxonomy places the organism in Eukaryota, Metazoa, Chordata, Mammalia, Rodentia, Bathyergidae. The record is from Ensembl.
GUCCUGAGCUCCAGAAGAUAAAGCAGAAGUGAACAACAGAAAGAGGGCCUCUCUUAGGCUCCUUGAUGAAAAUUGAAGCCCACUGGCAAAGUGAAGAGAAUCUCUGCAAUAAAGGCACACCAGACCACCAUGCUUGCAACUGGAGUAGAGUGCUGUCUACAGGGAGCCACUUGAUGUGUGCCAACUCCAGCACCCCUCAGCCUUACAUCGAUGCUGGAAGACUUGAGCAGCACCAAAGAGAUGGAGUUUCCAAAUUUUAUGGGAGAGAGGAUUUCAGUGACCAAACCUGAACGCCAUGCUCACUCUUGCUGAGGGGACUGGUCAGAUCUUUUCAGAGUUUUUGGCAGGAGAAGUCCUUGAGAAGCAAGUGUGGACAAGAGGAAAUGACUGACAAACGCAGCACAGGAAUCGUCAAAACAGCACAGAAAUCUGGCUUUGGAAAAAACCGAGAUUCUUUAGAGUAACUG